GAUGAACGCUGGCGGCGUGCCUAAUACAUGCAAGUCGAGCGAAUGGAUUAAGAGCUUGCUCUUAUGAAGUUAGCGGCGGACGGGUGAGUAACACGUGGGUAACCUGCCCAUAAGACUGGGAUAACUCCGGGAAACCGGGGCUAAUACCAGAUAACAUUUUGAACCGCAUGGUUCGAAAUUGAAAGGCGGCUUCGGCUGUCACUUAUGGAUGGACCCGCGUCGCAUUAGCUAGUUGGGGAGGUAACGGCUCACCAAGGCAACGAUGCGUAGCCGACCUGAGAGGUUGAUCGGCCACACGGGAACGGAGACACGGCCCAGACUCCUACGGGAGGCAGCAGUAGGGAAUCUUCCGCAAUGGACGAAAGUCUGACGGAGCAACGCUGCGUGAGUGAUGAAGGCUUUCGGGUCGUAAAACUCUGUUGUUAGGGAAGAACAAGUGCUAGUUGAAUAAGCUGGCACCUUGACGGUACCUAACCAGAAAGCCACGGCUAACUACGUGCCAGCCGCCGCCGUAA
RNAcentral lists this ribosomal RNA (515 nucleotides) under uncultured bacterium. Its description in RNAcentral is "partial 16S ribosomal RNA". It matches the Rfam family "Bacterial small subunit ribosomal RNA", at positions 28 to 523 of the family's 1533-position model. The record is from RNAcentral.